GUCCACGCUGUAAACGUUGGGCACUAGGUGUGGGGGCCACCCGUGGUUUCUGCGCCGUAGCUAACGCUUUAAGUGCCCCGCCUGGGGAGUACGGCCGCAAGGCUAAAACUCAAAGGAAUUGACGGGGGCCCGCACAAGCGGCGGAGCAUGCGGAUUAAUUCGAUGCAACGCGAAGAACCUUACCAAGGCUUGACAUGCACCCAGGGCCUCCAGAGAUGGGGGUGCAUUUGGUUGGGGGUGUGCAGGUGGUGCAUGGUU
This 258-nucleotide ribosomal RNA is filed under the name uncultured bacterium. RNAcentral describes it as "partial 16S ribosomal RNA". It matches the Rfam family "Bacterial small subunit ribosomal RNA", at positions 793 to 1050 of the family's 1533-position model. The record is from RNAcentral.